GGGCUGGAGGACGCCGCGAGGCCGGCGGCGAGGGCGGCGGGCACAAUGGAGGGACGAGGCCCGCCCGGCCGCUCGUUCGCCCGCCCGCCCGCGCCCGCACUCGCACUCCCAGCAAAGUUUCCGUUCCGCGGAGCCCGCACCCCCCUACCCCGCCCGGUACCAGGGCCCCGCGCCCCGCGCCCUCCGCCCGGGACUCUAGUCGGGACCCCAGAGCCACCGCUGCGUCGCAGCCGCACAACAAAGAGCCACACCGGGCGGCGCGGAAAGUCUAGGGAGUUGGAGUGGAGGUGAGAUCCGUGAUCGCGAAAGCCCUGGCUCCCUCCGUCCCCGUCUUCCGCCGCUCGCUCUCUGAUUAGUUCCUAUCCAGCAGCAGAUUGAAGCAGGAGAUGAUUCUUCUCAAGGUUUGUUCAGCAGCUUCACUUCUAGGCGAAGGCUUCAUGAACCAAGUGACGUCAACCAACAAGGCUUCUCUCUCUCUCCUCUCUCUAACAAUGAAAGUUGCUGUUAACA
This 510-nucleotide long non-coding RNA is filed under the name Mus caroli (Ryukyu mouse). RNAcentral describes it as "predicted gene 13620 (MGP_CAROLIEiJ_G0005386.1)". The record is from RNAcentral. Lineage: Eukaryota; Metazoa; Chordata; Mammalia; Rodentia; Muridae.